Molecule: ribosomal RNA, 395 nt
Filed under: uncultured bacterium
Lineage: Bacteria
Description: partial 16S ribosomal RNA
Rfam family: Bacterial small subunit ribosomal RNA
Source: RNAcentral
AUACGUAGGGUGCAAGCGUUAAUCGGAAUUACUGGGCGUAAAGCGUGCGCAGGCGGUUUUGUAAGACAGAGGGGAAAUUCCCGGGCUCAACCUGGGAACUGCCUUUGCGACCGCAAGGGUAGAGGACGGCAGAGGGGGAUGGGAAUCCGCGUGUAGCAGGGAAAAGCGUAGAUAUGCGGAGGAACACCGAUGGCGAAGGCAAUCCCCUGGGCCUGUACUGACGCUCAUGCACGAAAGCGUGGGGAGCAAACAGGAUUAGAUACCCUGGUAGUCCACGCCCUAAACGAUGUCAACUGGUUGUUGGGUCUUCAUUGACUCAGUAACGAAGCUAACGCGUGAAGUUGACCGCCUGGGGAGUACGGCCGCAAGGUUGAAACUCAAAUGAAUUGACGGGG